UCGUCUACCCGCGUUCAUCCGUGGGUGAGGACUAUUAUUUGAAUACUUGCCCCCUCCUUUUUUCUGCCUUUCUGCGAUAGGGGCUGAUUGUGCUUCCUCGUCUACCCGCGUGCAUCCGUGGGUGAGGACUAUUAUUUGAAUACAUGCCCCCUCCUUUUGCUCGCCUUUCUGCGACUGAGGCUAAGUGUGAUUCCUCGUCUACCUACGUUCAUCCGUAGGUGAGGACUAUUAUUUGAAUACUUGCCCCCUCCUUUUGCUCGCCUUUCUGCGACUGAGGCUAAGUGUGAUUCCUCGUCUACCUACGUUCAUCCGUAGGUGAGGACUAUUAUUUGAAUACUUGCCCCCUCCUUUUGCUCGCCUUUCUGCGACUGAGGCUAAGUGUGAUUCCUCGUCUACCUACGUUUAUCCGUAGGCGAGGAAUGUUCUUGAGCACGUCCCUCGUCUAAUCCUACGUUCUUCCGUAGGUGAGGUUUACUCUUGAGUACGUCCCUCGUCUAACCUACGUUCUUCCGUAGGUGAGGUUUACUCUUGGACACUUGCCCCUCUGUCUACAUUUUUGUAGAAUGGGGUGUGUGUUUAGCCGACGUGUCCCCCGUCUAACCUACGUUCUUCCGUAGGUGGGGUUCACUUUUGCCGCUGUGUUCCCCGUCUAACCUACGUUCUUCCGUAGGUGGGGUUCACUUUUGCCGAUAUGUUCCCCGUCUAACCUACGUUCUUCCGUAGGUGGGGUUUACCUUUGAGUACAUCCCCCGUCUAACACUACGUUUCCGUAGGUGAGGUUCACUCUUUGCCGCUGUGUUCCCCGUCUAACCUACGUUCUUCCGUAGGUGGGGUUCACUCUUUGCCGCUGUGUUCCCCGUCUAACCUACGUUCUUCCGUAGGUGGGGUUCACUCUUGGUUUGGAUGGGAUACGCAUCCUGACUCUGUUACCAUUAAGACUUUCUCUAUCCGCGUUCUUCCGCAGGUAGAGUUAAUUUGGCGUCCUACUUUGUUACUGCGUCCAGUAAUAGUAGGAGUUCAAAUAUCUUUAUAUGGCUCAGCUCAUUUUGCUGCCGUAUCCCCGUCCGAGUUGUGGACUUCCACGAUUCCUUAGGAGCAUUUUGUGUUACACCCUCCUGCCUUGGUGUGCCGCUGAAACUCCAACUUGUCUGGGUUCUUUUUUCUGUACCCCUUUUAUGUGGGAGAAAAAGUCGAUCCCUUGUUGGUUUUGGUCGACUUUUGCUAAAUGUCGAACUCAUGUUGAAUUCCCUCGACUUUUGCUAAAUGUCGAUCCCUUGUUGACUUGGUCGACUUUUGUCGAAAAGUCGAUUC
This 1311-nucleotide long non-coding RNA is filed under the name Zostera marina. RNAcentral describes it as "long non-coding RNA (ZMAR_LNC005008)". Lineage: Eukaryota; Viridiplantae; Streptophyta; Magnoliopsida; Alismatales; Zosteraceae. The record is from RNAcentral.